Magnolia sinica is the source of this 419-nucleotide long non-coding RNA. RefSeq lists it as uncharacterized. The transcript is spliced from 4 exons. The record is from RefSeq and is a predicted model, not a curated record. Lineage: Eukaryota; Viridiplantae; Streptophyta; Magnoliopsida; Magnoliales; Magnoliaceae.
CUCUCUCUCUCUCUCUCUCUCUCUCUCUCUCUCUCUCAUUACAUCUACCUACAACAAGAACAAUGAUUCUCGAGCCUUUCAUCCAAUCAAUCUUUCAACGAUCAGAGUUUGCAAGCUUGGAGCGGUUGGCGCUAUGAUCUGGAAUCGUCGUGGAGAUUCUGGCGUCAGUGAGCGGUUAGGAUUAUGCAGCAACAAGGAGGAUCGGUUUAGCAUGGGAUUUUGAACAACAGAAGGCAUAAGGCAGGUCUUGACUAAGGUUUACAUAUUUGGGGCUAGUGCUUUUUCAGGAUGAGGAGUGGCUCGAGCUGUUAGUGAGGUUGUAGUUGACAAUCCGGUCAAGUGAGAUCUUACACAUUUCAUUCCAUGUUAGCAUUAUGUUGCUGGUUGUAUUUUAUAUUUGAAUGUUGUUUAUUUAUUUA